GAUGAACGCUGACAGAAUGCUUAACACAUGCAAGUCGAUUCGAUUUACCUUCGGGUAUUGAGGAUGGCGGACGGGUGAGUAACGCGUAAGGAACUUGCCUCUUGGUCUGGGACAACUGUUGGAAACGACAGCUAAUACCGGAUAUUAUGAGAUUCUCGCAUGGGAAACUUAUGAAAGCUAUAUGCGCCAAGAGAGAGCCUUGCGUUCCAUUAGCUAGUUGGUGGGGUAAUGGCCCACCAAGGCGACGAUGGAUAGCCGGCCUGAGAGGGUGAACGGCCACAA
This 282-nucleotide ribosomal RNA is filed under the name uncultured bacterium. Its description in RNAcentral is "partial 16S ribosomal RNA". It matches the Rfam family "Bacterial small subunit ribosomal RNA", at positions 28 to 313 of the family's 1533-position model. The record is from RNAcentral.